UAGCAAACUAUAUACUUCUAUGUGAUUUUUCUUAACAGUAUCCUGGUGAUCUUUCUAUAUUGAUAAAGAGAUAGCUUCCUUUUAAAAAAUCUAGAACUCUUUGUAGUAUGAUUAUUUGUUGUAGUUUAUUUAACCUGGCCCUUACAUUUUCUAGUCUUUUUAUUAACACAUUUAAGUUACUUAAAUAUAACUAUAUGUGAUUAGCAAAAAGGAAAAUUCUUGUGUUGUUUGUCCACUGAAUGGGUGCCUCAAAGGGAACUUGAGAACAAGAGAUGUGCUUUUGUUAUCUUAGUUGAUCAACUUACCUUGUGUCUAAGCAUAAAUGGCUCUCCACAUUAAAUAGGGUUUUAGUGUUUCAGGUCACAUGGCUCCUUAACAGAACCAGCUAUUUAAAUUGAAUUCUUAUCU
Pipistrellus kuhlii (Kuhl's pipistrelle) is the source of this 408-nucleotide long non-coding RNA. RefSeq lists it as uncharacterized. The transcript is spliced from 2 exons. Lineage: Eukaryota; Metazoa; Chordata; Mammalia; Chiroptera; Vespertilionidae. The record is from RefSeq and is a predicted model, not a curated record.